Molecule: long non-coding RNA, 4678 nt
Organism: Pseudopipra pipra
Lineage: Eukaryota; Metazoa; Chordata; Aves; Passeriformes; Pipridae
Exons: 3
Source: RefSeq, a predicted model, not a curated record
UGUGGUAAUAAUGGACAUAGUGACUUGAUAGUUUAUUAGUUAAAUAGCACUUCUGGAAAAAACACAAAUGCUGCUCAUGAUCUCUUCUUGGAACCAGUUCAUGAUCUGGGUAGGGAUGCAAGAACAUGGAUGCAGCAUUAUGUGAUUUCUAGCACAACUCCAACCCACAGGAAUGAUGAUGGGAAAACAUUUCUAAUGCUUUAUGACAACUGCUGCUAGUUUAUUUAACAAUACAAAAUAUGUUGCAUCAGCAUAUGUAUUGGCUUUUAACAAUUAAAGAGUUUAUUUUGUUUUCCUAACAAUAUCACUAUAAAACUAAGAUCUUUCAAUAGGUUCUUAACACUCACUGGACAACUUUUACUGCAAGUCAUCUCAACUAAUGUGACAAAGAGGAUGUGGGAACCUUCCAGUAGUCCAGGAGCUGGACUCCUUCACCUGGGACAAAAUUAAGCAGAUCUCUCUUUCCACUGAAGCCCAGCACAUGUCCAGGGCCUCCAGUUCUAGAGCUGCUGACCAGACACAGUGAAAGGAACAAGCCCUGGAAGGGCCAUUUACUGGAACAAGACUAAGCUAUCAUUCCCCACUUCAUCAGCUGUGGCCAGGUUUCUAAAGGAGGUCAGUCUUGGGGAGCAUCCACCGUAUCCCAGACACACCAUUACACAACCAGCCACCAUCUUCAAGAUAUUCUAGCAACUGUCUGGACUGUCACAUCUAGAAUAGCCACAAUUAAUCAGACAUUUUGCUGGCAAACUGAAUCAGUUUGGAAUUAGGCUUCUAACAGACACAUGCCAAGCACUGAAAUUUUAUGUAGCUUUCAAAACAUGAGCAACAACAAAAAUAUCCACACAAAGCAGUCAAAACAUGGUAUUGAAUUAUUUUAGCAACAGAUAUGCAACAAGUUUAAUCCGUUCAUAAAUUUGUACCCUGUUACUCCAUUCUUUGCCUUAGAGCUUGAUUUUCAGCCAGGAGCACUGGGCACUUAGAUCCCACAGGCUCCUUCAAGAGCUUGCAGGUGCUCAGCCUAUCUGAGAAACACUGAGUGCCUGCCAGAGUGUGGCCCCUGUGGAUGUCUGACAACACUUUUACCUUCUAUUUUGCUCGACCUCAAGCUUUUUUAAUUAAGAGGUCUUGUCCAGUAUCCUGAUAACCAUUGCAUAAGUUUGCUGGCAUUAGGCAGCACCAGUUAGUUAAAUGAUAUGAAAAAAAAAUCCUACAAGCAGUUCUAAAAUGCUCAGCUUGCUACACAACUUGUCUAUGAAAUAUUGCUCUAAUCCAGUUCUGUAAGUCUCAGGUACAAAAUAUUCUAAUUGGAAACCACUUUCAGAAUAACAGAAUAGUAUCUCAAACACAGUUCUCAAUCCUUCUCCUCAAGGAGCCACUCUGACACUUAACAGAGGUUGCUGCAAUGAGCUGAACCAAGAGCUGUCCUACUCACAGGGGGGCAGGGAGGGGGAUGAAUAGAUCUUCAUGUUAAUGAAAAUUUGAGGUUCUGAUCCAGGAAAGCACAUAAACUAGCAUUCAAAUGCUGUCGUGGAUUUGGGCUUUUAAGAAAACAUACUUGCAAGGAGAUUCUAGGAUAAAAAGCACGUCUGCUCUACUGAUGAGUCUCUCAUGAACUCAGUUAAACUAACUCACCCCAUAGGUCAAAAGUGACUCUUGACUUUUUUACCACUGAAAUACAAUGGGGAAAAUGAAAUUUAUAGAUUUAAUACCUUUAAGGGCUGCAUUUCAGGACUGAAGAAUUUUUUCCUGAUACCUUAGCCUGUACCAAGGAAGAGGAAAGGUAUGUAUCCCUCACAGUGCUGCAACAGUCAGGCUACCUGUCCUGCCAGGAAAUAAUUUGAGUCUACCUAGAUUCAUCUAGCAGUUAAAGUGCAGGAAACCAUUCCAUUACUUGAUUGUAGUCAUUCCCUGCUUAAGAAAAGCAGCUUGAGAAUACAGUAUCACUUCAGUCCCUAGAGGGCUUGUUGGUUUCCAGUCUUUCUUGGAGAGAAGACUUCUACAGUUUCCAUUCUGGAACAACCUCAGUCAUUUUUCCAGAGCCUGCACCAGCACUGGGACAGGUUUUUUGUUUGUUUGGGGUGGGGAAGGUGGAUUUGGUGGUUGGGGUCUUUUCAUUGUUGUGGUUUGUUGGUGGGGUUUUUUUUAAUUGGGCUUGUUUGUUUCUUGGGUUUUUUUUAAGAUUGGCUAAACUGACUCUCAAAAUUUUACUUAUGGCCAAGAAAACUCCUGUGACAGAACUGGGACAGGCACCUCUAUCUCCCUUCCCAAGUUACUCUCUAUAAGCUCCAGUUGCUGGAACUGGAACUUCAGAUGUACUUAUUCUCUAGACACAUACACAAGAACUUCAUUAACAGCCAGGAUUAUGGAGUCUAAAAGGGCUGGUGCCAGCUUUACCACAGCCUUACCACAGCCAAACUUGUUUUCCUCUUCACUGCUUUUUUCCCUUUCACACUCAGCUACUCCUGUGAUUCUGUUUAUGCAGAAGCAAUAUCAAUUGCAUUAAUUGUGGCUUAUGUUCCUCCUCAGGUGCAGCAGCCAAGUUAGAAAGGGGAACUUUGACACUGCUGCUUUUAAACCAUAGGAAUAACAGCUUCAAAACAAACAAACAAACAUAUAAAAACACCGCUUCUCCCACAUACAAAAAAACCCAAACAAAACCACCCCCCCCUCCACGUUUCUUGCACAAUAAAAUUAUGGUCCUUGCAAAUCUAAAUUGCUCUUUGCUACCUUGACAAACACUGUCCUUGACAGAAUCACAUUAAGAGAAAUUCACUAAUGAUUAUGCUAAAGUUCAGAUUCGUUACUCCCACGGUAAAUGUGAUUGAGACUUUCGGUAGCUAUUUCAUUUUAAGGAGGUAAACCAUAAUUGUUUCAUUUGCAGUUAAGUGAUCAGAGCUAAAUCCUGUGUUAAGUAAAACUGUUUUCAAGCACUUUUCUGGACAUUUUACUGCAAUACUACUGAGCAAAUAAGACAUACUUUAUUGUCCGCACCCAUAUGAGUAGAAUAUCUUUUUACCUACCAUCAGCAGAGAGAUUAGCAUGCCUUUCAUAGGCUUUGUUUAUUUCUAGAAAAGCUUUGCUCAAAACAUUCUCCAAGUUCUCCUCCUCAGCAAGAAAUUCCCUGGAAACAAACAAGCAAACAAAAAACUAAACUUCUCUCCAAGAAAUACACAUCUUGAUCAAUCUGCUUCAUACUCCUAUCUCCUCCUUGCACACAUUGAAUAAUGCUGCAUUUCAGUGAAAAGGUAACAUGGUUUUACUAAUGACCUGACUGGAAGCAUAAUCUUGUAAUUCUGCAAAUAUGUAAGUUCCUCUUCCAACAUCCAGGGAUGGGAUAGAGAGAAAAGAGUGUAAGCAAACUGCAGGUCAGCAAUCACAGUGACCUUAUGUGAAAACAGUCAAUUCACACUCUCCCUGUGUUCCCAGUCAUCUCCUGGAUGGUGAGUACAAUCGUGUUUUUCUCUUGUCUUUGUGGGCUUGCUCCAUAGGGCAGGCACCACACAGAAUAAGUAGUUCAUAGCACGUCUGUUCCACCUGAUGCUCCUGCUGUCCCGUUAGGACAGGUGGCUACAUAAUCUAGGAAGAUUAACAAGGUAAAACCCUCCGAUUCUCUCUCAGUCCUAAGGAAGGAAUCUCUGCUCAAAUUUAUUUGACACACAUUCCCUUGAUGUGCACUUACUUAAUAUAUUUUUCCAUGUACUUCUCACAGAAGUCAGCUGCUGCUGCCCCACCAUGUCCAUCGUAUACUGCAAAGUACAGGAUAUCCUCCGUCAGCUGAGAAUAAUCGAACCGGUCUUCGUUCUCCUUGCGCUUCCCGAUGUGGCUCGCGCAGCCCACGUUGGUCAGGCUCACUUUAGGAAUCGGCUUCCCAUACUUUAUGCUUGGUGGGAGGAGAAUAGGCUCAUCAAUGCGAUUGUCCCAGAUGCCAAAGGUGUCCCAUGUGGUCGGCCGCCCGCUCCCCUCCGGAUCGAAGCGGGAAACAUGGCGCUCAGAGCUGGAGACGUAGCAGGCGCCCGUUGGGCGUUUCUCGUCUUGCAAGAGGCGGGAUGUGAGCACGGCUCUCCUUCUUACUUGAUACCCUCCAUUUCGUACCAAAUUAAUUAAAGUAGCUGUUGACAUAACUUGUCUUCACAGAGAUUCUCAGGAAAAAAAAGAUCAGGAGCAAAAGAUACUGCAGCUGCUGGAAUGUCUUGGAGAACAAUGAGGAAACUGAUCAGGAAACAAGAAGCGCGGGAAAGAGGAAUUUUCAGUUACAUCAUUUAGGAAACAACGUCACCCUCAGAGCCUGCUAAUCAUGCCAAGCACAGCUCUGCCUGGAAGCAAGUCCAGGGCGGUCUGCGUGACUCACUGACAAACUAUCCUACACACAGCAGCCCACAUUUAACCCAAGUGCUGCAGGCAGAACAAGGCUGGCUGCUGCUCGGCAGAUGGAAAUUUUCCAGGCUGCCAGAAGAAAAGGGGGGGAAAAAAGGAAGGCCGGAAGAAAGCGAAGGCAUGCCUGCUGCCCCGGGGGAUCCCACGUAUGUGAAAAGGAAUGUACAACUCCAAGUGCACUUGCCUCGCGUGCCUUCCAAGCCCCACGGAUGCAGGCAGGACCGAAGGGUACGUUAACUGUUAUGUUAAGCUCGACUUAAAACAGAGGGUUGGUUUGUUUUUUUUGUUGUUUUUUUUUUUA